GUGACUUGAGGGGAUCACUUCUUCUCCACCUUCGCCAUGUCGCCAGAGCAGCCUAAUACCAGAUCCGUGUAACCGCAAACCGCACGUCCAGCCGUCAAAAGCAUAUUCACCUGAUCGUGGCACUGUUGGGAUUUAGGUAUUUCAGGUGGUUCGAGUGGACCACUUCAACGCGGAUUCUGUAUUUCUGUCCGCCAACAAGUUCCAUCAUCACGGACUCAGUCCUCAUCAUUCCCGUCUUUUCUUUCGUUGGAAUGACAGGGACUGGAUUUUCGGAAAUUGCAUCUCCUGAAACCGGGGUUGGCAUCCUGUCAAUAAUGAUCGGUUCGUCGCCAAGGAACAUUCGGACUCCACAGUCAGACUCUGGCAAAUGGCAGGACUUUUCGAAAUAGCGACGAACGAUAGUGGCAUUUUAUCGUACCGACAAUGAAUGUGUACAUCCCCGAUCGAGGGGCUUCCAGGAAUGCUUCCCAUCCUGUCAUCGACGGCUCAAGUCUCAGGGUGAAAUCCUUCGUUCUGUAGACGCUUCCUUACUGACGGAAAAACUGUUGGAGGACACUCCCUCAACUGGCCCCUUUCCUGAAAACACCAAGUCCAGCGCACUGUCCGUUCUGAAGGCUGAUGGUGCCCCGGUGAAUGUUGGGUUGUUGUAGUAGGCCCCGCGGACGCCAUCUGCGAAGGGUUCAUCCUCGUAGCUGAACGCCCAGGAACACUGUGUCACAAGAGAUCGAAACGAUCAGUGAAUCUCUUACCCUCUGACUAAGGAACAGUUUUUCUUGUUCAUAAUAGCCCUUUUCAUAUCCCUGUCUAUGUCGUCUUUGACAUCAUCAAUUGUUGCUUCAAUUAGUCCGAUCUUGGCAGACGCUUCUUCCAUUUUCUUCAGGCAGUGUUGGCUUCGGGAAAGAAGGCCGUCUAUUUGGUUGAGAUUUUGGCUCAUUGAUGAGUGAGCAGCGCCACAUGUGGCCGUGAAUCUGCAUGUUGUUGUUCCGUCGGCCACCACAUCCAUUCAUGUGCCAAAAAAACUCGCACCUGCGUAUCAUGUCUUCGAUUUUUGCAGCCUCAGCAUCCAGUCGUGCCAUCUGAAGAAAACAGUCUUCUUUGCGGUCACUCAUACAUCUUGAAGAUUCCUG
This 1127-nucleotide long non-coding RNA is filed under the name Toxoplasma gondii VEG. The record is from RNAcentral. Lineage: Eukaryota; Apicomplexa; Conoidasida; Eucoccidiorida; Sarcocystidae.